RNAcentral lists this unclassified non-coding RNA (382 nucleotides) under uncultured bacterium. Its description in RNAcentral is "contains 16S-23S intergenic spacer region". The record is from RNAcentral.
UCCGGUUUGGCACCGGCAGUCUCCCUAGAGUUCCCGGCAUGAUCCGCUGGCAACUAAGGACAGGGGUUGCGCUCGUUGCGCCGCUUAACCCAACACCUCACGGCACGAGCUGACGACAGCCAUGCAGCACCUGCACGCGCUCCCCUUUCGAGGUCAUUACCGUUUCCGGUUCUUACCACGCGCAUGUCAAGCCUGGGUAAGGUUUUUCGCGUUGCGUCGAAUUGAACCACAUGCACCACCGCUUGUGCGGGCCCCCGUCAAUUCCUUUGAGUUUCAGCCUUGCGGCCGUACUCCCCAGGCGGGGCACUUAGAGCGUUAGCUACGGCACCGGGAGGGUCGCUCCCCCCGACGCCUAGUGCCCAUCGUUUACGGCGUGGACUAC